UUCUAAAAACAUUAACCCCAAUCUUUGAGGACAAUUGACAAGAAGUUGAAUUUGAAGGCAAUGGAUACAAAAUAUUACAUUCAAUAUUUCUGCCUUGUAAAGUACUUAAAUAUUUGACAUCUCAUGUCAAGGUGUCCACUAGGACUGGCCAUGGUCCAGUUUUAGGCUGGAACCAGCGCUUUGUAUAAGUAAUUUCCUGCUUCCUCCUUGCUUAUUGAACCCUGUCGCUAAGGAUUUAAGACUCAGUAGGAUAGUUCUAGUAUUGUUACCAUCCAAUAUUAACUUAGAAAUAAGUUCUAAUAACCAUUAAGCUCAAUCUUUGAGGACAAUUGACAAGAAGUUGAAUUUGAAGGCAAUGGCUACAAAAUAUUACAUUCAAUAUUUCUGCCUUGUAAAGUACUUAACUAUUUGACAUCUUCAGGUCAAGGUGUCCACUAGGACUGGCCAUGGUCCAGUUCUAGGCUGGAACCAGCGCCUCCAGUUUCAGGGUUAGGGGGACUAGAAUAGGACC
Molecule: long non-coding RNA, 511 nt
Filed under: Manihot esculenta (cassava)
Lineage: Eukaryota; Viridiplantae; Streptophyta; Magnoliopsida; Malpighiales; Euphorbiaceae
Description: long non-coding RNA (MESC_LNC003229)
Source: RNAcentral